Elaeis guineensis (African oil palm) is the source of this 118-nucleotide ribosomal RNA. The record is from RefSeq and is a predicted model, not a curated record. NCBI's taxonomy places the organism in Eukaryota, Viridiplantae, Streptophyta, Magnoliopsida, Arecales, Arecaceae.
GGGUGCGAUCAAACCAGUACUAAUGCACUGGAUCCCAUCAGAACUCUACAGUUAAGCGUGCUUGGGUGAGAGUAGUAUUAGUAUGGGUGUCCCUAGGGAAGUCCUCGUGUUGCACCCU